This 646-nucleotide unclassified non-coding RNA is filed under the name uncultured Prochlorococcus sp. RNAcentral describes it as "partial 16S-23S ribosomal RNA intergenic spacer; may also contain 16S ribosomal RNA and 23S ribosomal RNA". The stretch from base 304 to 376 matches the Rfam family "tRNA". Lineage: Bacteria; Bacillati; Cyanobacteriota; Cyanophyceae; Synechococcales; Prochlorococcaceae. The record is from RNAcentral.
UUGUGGAGGAGGACGCCGAAGGUGGGGCUAAUGACUGGGGUGAAGUCGUAACAAGGUAGCCGUACCGGAAGGUGCGGCUGGAUCACCUCCUAACAGGGAGACAACAAAAUGUUUAAUAUUAUUAUUUUGUCACCUUAGGUCGAUCGGUAUCUCACGUUCUUAAUUUAUUAAGGAUUUCAUUUCCUAAGUUUUUCUAGGUCACACCCAUUAUUUUCCUGGGCCAUUAGCUCAGGUGGUUAGAGCGCACCCCUGAUAAGGGUGAGGUCCCUGGUUCAAGUCCAGGAUGGCCCAUAUCUCUAUGUUGGGGGUAUAGCUCAGUUGGUAGAGCGCCUGCUUUGCAAGCAGGAUGUCAGCGGUUCGAGUCCGCUUACCUCCACUGAUUACCACCUCUUUCAUAUUUUUUUGAAAAGGAAAUGUUUUGAGUCGUGAUCAAAAUCUGAACGAAUCUAGCUUCCUAAUGUAAUCAUUAAGAUGCUGGACUCAUUGAAUUAAUUUCAUUGUUUUCAGAGAACCUUGACAACUGCAUAGAUUAUUUUUAAAGACAAUAAGCAUCUUUAAUGAUGCAGAUUUAUUAUUUGUGCGAAUGCAUUAAUAACAAUUCUAUUAAGCUGAUGCUUCAAUUUUGAAGUUAUUGGUCAAGCUACAA